RNAcentral lists this ribosomal RNA (210 nucleotides) under Triticum aestivum (bread wheat). RNAcentral describes it as "partial small subunit ribosomal RNA". The record is from RNAcentral. Lineage: Eukaryota; Viridiplantae; Streptophyta; Magnoliopsida; Poales; Poaceae.
AUGCUCACCGUCAUGCCCUUCUCUCUCACACAUCUCAGUGCCCGCCGUGGUCGGGAGCGUCAAAAAUUGAGGGCAACCCAGCCCGGGAUUACAACGUCCUCCAUGACCAACAACCCCACAGCAGCCCUGCCAUCUAGCUGCGCUUCUUCCCGCGCUAUACCCCGGUGCACCAGCACAGCGGCCCGCUGUUCGCCGCGGCCUUCCCGUUGA